GACGAACGCUGGCGGCGUGCUUAACACAUGCAAGUCGAACGGAAAGGCCCUGCUUUUGUUGUGUGCUCGAGUUGCGAACGGGUGAGUAACACGUGAGUAACCUGCCCUUGACUUUGGGAUAACUUCAGGAAACUUGGGCUAAUACCGGAUAUGAUCUCCUGCUGCAUUGUGGGGGUUGUAAAGUUUCGGCGGUUGGGGAUGGACUCGCGGCUUAUCAGCUUGUUGGUGGGGUAGUGGCUUACCAAGGCGUUGACGGGUAGCCGGCCUGAGAGGGUGACCGGCCACAUUGGGAAUGAGAUACGGCCAAGACUCAUACGGGAGGCAGGAGUGGGGAAUAUUGGCCAAUGGGCGGAAGCCUGAUGCAGCAACGCCGCGUGCGGGAUGACGGCCUUCGGGUUGUAAACAGCUUUCGCCUGUGACGAAGCGUGAGUGACGGUAAUGGGUAAAGAAGCACCGGCUAACUACGUG
Molecule: ribosomal RNA, 468 nt
Filed under: uncultured bacterium
Lineage: Bacteria
Description: partial 16S ribosomal RNA
Rfam family: Bacterial small subunit ribosomal RNA
Source: RNAcentral